ACCUGGCUGGCUCUGUUGGAAUAGCAUGAGACUCUUCAUCUCAGGGUUGUGAGUUCGAACCCCACGCUGGGUG
RNAcentral lists this transfer RNA (73 nucleotides) under Canis lupus familiaris (dog). It matches the Rfam family "tRNA". Rfam says of the family: Transfer RNA (tRNA) molecules are approximately 80 nucleotides in length. Their secondary structure includes four short double-helical elements and three loops (D, anti-codon, and T loops). Further hydrogen bonds mediate the characteristic L-shaped molecular structure. tRNAs have two regions of fundamental functional importance: the anti-codon, which is responsible for specific mRNA codon recognition, and the 3' end, to which the tRNAs corresponding amino acid is attached (by aminoacyl-tRNA synthetases). tRNAs cope with the degeneracy of the genetic code in two manners: having more than one tRNA (with a specific anti-codon) for a particular amino acid; and 'wobble' base-pairing, i.e. permitting non-standard base-pairing at the 3rd anti-codon position. The record is from Rfam by way of RNAcentral. Lineage: Eukaryota; Metazoa; Chordata; Mammalia; Carnivora; Canidae. RNAcentral also lists the same sequence under 1 other name.